GGGGGGUAGNUCCAGGUGUAGCGUGAAUGCGUAGAGAUCUGAGGAAUACCGGUGGCGAAGGCGGCCCCUGGACGAAGACUGACGCUCAGGUGCGAAAGCGUGGGGAGCAACAGGAUUAGAUACCUGGUAGUCACGCGUAAACGAUGUCGACUUGGAGGUUGUGCCCUUGAGGCGUGGCUUCCGGAGCUAACGCGUUAAGUCGACCGCCUGGGGAGUACGGCCGCAAGGUUAAAACUCAAAUGAAUUGACGGGGGCCCGCACAAGCGGUGGAGCAUGUGGUUUAAUUCGAUGCAACGCGAAGAACCUUACCUGGUCUUGACAUCCACGGAAGUUUUCAGAGAUGAGAAUGUGCCUUCGGGAACCGUGAGACAGGUGCUGCAUGGCUGUCGUCAGCUCGUGUUGUGAAAUGUUGGGUUAAGUCCCGCAACGAGCGCAACCCUUAUCCUUUGUUGCCAGCGGUCCGGCCGGGAACUCAAAGGAGACUGCCAGUGAUAAACUGGAGGAAGGUGGGGAUGACGUCAAGUCAUCAUGGCCCUUACGACCAGGGCUACACACGUGCUACAAUGGCGCAUACAAAGAGAAGCGACCUCGCGAGAGCAAGCGGACCUCAUAAAGUGCGUCGUAGUCCGGAUUGGAGUCUGCAACUCGACUCCAUGAAGUCGGAAUCGCUAGUAAUCGUGGAUCAGAAUGCCACGGUGAAUACGUUCCCGGGCCUUGUACACACCGCCCGUCACACCAUGGGAGUGGGUUGCAAAAGAAGUAGGUAGCUUAACCUUCGGGAGGGCGCUUACCACUUUGUGAUUCAUGACUGGGGUGAAGUCGCAACAAGGUAACCGUAGGGGAACCCGCGGCUGGAUCACCUCCUU
RNAcentral lists this ribosomal RNA (866 nucleotides) under uncultured bacterium. RNAcentral describes it as "bacterial SSU rRNA". It matches the Rfam family "Bacterial small subunit ribosomal RNA", at positions 656 to 1532 of the family's 1533-position model. The record is from RNAcentral.